Molecule: ribosomal RNA, 238 nt
Filed under: uncultured bacterium
Lineage: Bacteria
Description: partial 16S ribosomal RNA
Rfam family: Bacterial small subunit ribosomal RNA
Source: RNAcentral
CGGCACGGGUGAGUAACACGUAUCCAACCUGCCGUCUACUCUUGGCCAGCCUUCUGAAAGGAAGAUUAAUCCAGGAUGGCAUCAUGAGUUCACAUGUCCGCAUGAUUAAAGGUAUUUUCCGGUAGACGAUGGGGAUGCGUUCCAUUAGAUAGUAGGCGGGGUAACGGCCCACCUAGUCAACGAUGGAUAGGGGUUCUGAGAGAAAGGUCCCCCACAUUGGAACUGAGACACGGUCCAA